RNAcentral lists this long non-coding RNA (2056 nucleotides) under Penaeus monodon (black tiger shrimp). RNAcentral's name for it is "uncharacterized LOC119570189". The record is from RNAcentral. Lineage: Eukaryota; Metazoa; Arthropoda; Malacostraca; Decapoda; Penaeidae.
ACUUUCAACCCGCAGCGCCAACUGCCGCAAGGACGCCAACGCUCCAACAACAACCAAAACCUACGCCCCAACCGCUACCAUGGCUGCCUCGAACAGCAACGCCCAUCUCGACGUCACAGAAGUAGACAUUCCAUGAUAAAGGUCCAAGGACACUUCCGUGAGGGCCGGUGCCUCUCGCUGGACGUUCACUGGAGGUUUGACCCUCAAGGGCAACUUGGAGAGUCCUUUCGUGGAGGCAGUCCUCAAUUCGUCCUAAUUAUUGGCGGAAACACUCGCGAAAUCUGCCUUUGAUUCGGGAAGCGUUUAAAAGAACAGACACGUAGCUUGUGAUAAAAAUGAUGAGAAUAAGCAGCCAACUACUUAUCUUUCCAGUUACGUCACUGUAAGCUGGUAAGUGAGAGAGAGAGAAAUAAAGAGUGAAUGAGAAAGGGUAAUUGAUUAAAAAAGAGAAGUGAUUAAUUGAGUAAAGGAGUAUAGGAAGUACUGACAAUGUAACUGAGUGGGAGCGAGAGAGAGAAAGAGGGAGAGAAGGAAAUCAUUAGUAAUAAUCACUAUCAUUAUAAUAGUUACAGACCUCAUGUGUAAAGAACUAAGCAUUGGAAGUAAUUAGAUUUACAUUUUUGUGUAAUGAGGAGAAAACUCUCCAUCUUUUAGCAAAAGUUAUUUUGGAAAAUAUUUUGUGUGAGAGAGAAAUGAACGCUCAAGACUAAAGCUAAAUAAACCAGUAAGAAAUGUAUUCGGGAGAAGACAGCAAAAUAUCCGGAUAAUAUUCUAUCCAUGAUAAUAUAUAUUUUAGCGAUAUCACUUCAUAAAUGCAGAACUUAGGCUCCUGUGCUUCAUUUGGCCUCUUUUCUGUGAAUCACUGGCGACGAUAGAAUGGUGAUAAUAGGGAUAGCGAGAGGCAAUGGAAGCGGAAGAAAUACGAUGAGUACUGAGCUCAUAUGUGUGGCUGGAAGAAGAGGGAGAUAAAGCGAAUCAGGGAGAUAGAAAGAGAGAAAGAGAAAAAAAUUGAUAGGGAGAGAGGGAAAGAGGAAGAUAGAGAGAGAGGGGAUGAGAGAGUGGUGGAAAAGGGUGAAGACGGAGAGAACGAGUAGCAGAAUGUGAGAGAGAGGUUUUAUCUUUUUAUCAGCCGCCCCGGGUUGACAACAGGUACAUCUUAUACACUCACACACACACACACACACGGACAUACGCAUAAAAACAUUAAGAGAAAAAAUUUAAGGUUUCAGAGUUAGUUGUUUACAUAUCAGUAGCCUGAUAUGAGAAAUUUUGGGAAGUCCCUCCUUCCCUCACAUAAUCACACAUAGCACAAACAAUGCAAAGUACCAUAUAUAUGUUAUAUAAUUAUGACCAAUUCUCAGCUGAAGGAUAAAUGUUAGAAUAUUGGUGCAAAAUGUGUGUGGCUCUUCAAAAUUUGAAAUAGCUGGCUAUUCUUGAUUAUCCAUUCACCCUGUUCAUGGAAACCUGUUAUAUAUGCACUGUAAUAUAUAGUGUAACGGAUAUGUGGUCUUUCCAUUUGCAUUUGCCCCUCCCGCAAGUAGUCUCAAAGUGUCACUCGCCUCAGCCGACUCGCCCUUCCUGGCCUCGUCGUAUUCUAGCUGUAUUCUGUUGGUAUUGUUUCUUGCCUGUUUCAGAGUGUGCUUACACUUGAUGUCCACCUUAUAUUUCCUAGUCGCCUCCAUCACAAGAGAGAUAAAUAGAUAGAGAUCGAUGGGUAGAUAGAGAGAGAGAGAGAGAAGGAGAGAUACACACAUGCACGUGUUAUGCAUUUGUGUGUGUCGUAAGAGCCUGAGCGAGGCUGACUGUCCUGUUUGCGUUAUCUGUGGAAUGAAGGUCACCGAUAAGAAUAGGCAGCGAGGCGGCGCGACCACAGCGAGCUCACUUUCAACCCAGAGCGCCAAGUGCCGCAAGGACAUCGCCAACGCUUCAACAACAACCGCAACCUACGCCCCAACCGCUACCAUGGCUUCCUCGAACAGCAACGCCCGUAUUGUCGCUCUGGUCAAAAGCCGGCGAACGCAGAAGGACUACGGGCCGCCCUCGCCGCCCCUUCCGC